UCUACCACUCACAACCAGGAAUAUUCCCCAAGGAUAAACCUUCCAGCAUCAUGGCAGCAUGCUGAAUGUUCGCACCAUUUAUUGUAUGAGCCUAUGAUCAUCCAUGUACUCUAACAGUUCUUUUAUGAUACAAAUGUGAACAGACCAAGGAAGCGGGGACCCAGCAACCCAAACACUCCCACCAACACCUCAAACGGCAGCUACACCAACAAAACCAACGGUACAAAGCGGAUUGACCACUUUACAACUAAUAUUUCAGACUUCGCUACCCAGGCAACCGGAUGCAACAUCCACAAAGAUAGUAACCUCUCCGACAAGUACAUCAACAACUGCAACAGCCAUGACCGUGCACCAGCAAAUCAUGACUGAACAAGGAAGCGGGGACACAAUAACCCAAACACUCCCACCAACACCUCAAACGGCAGCAACAACAACUAAACCCACAGUAAAAACCGGAUUGACCACUUUACAAGUAAUAUUUCAGACUUCACUACCCAGGCAACCGGAUGCAACAUCCACAAAGAUAGUAAAAUCUCCGACAAGUACAUCAACAACUGCAACAGCCAUAACCGUGCACCAGCAAAUCAUGACUGGAAACACAUUGGCAAUAGGAGUAGGAGUUGGUGUUGGUGGAGUACUGCUGGUGUUGGUCAUUGUCAUCAUUCUGAUUGUCCUUAUCAGAGGAAGGACCGGAGGUGGACAUGAAUCCGAAGUGGCAGGUGGGAAGAGCACAUCAAUAAGCAUCAGAAGUAAAUUCUCCUCCCUCCAAGCUAGAGACAACUACGACCUGGUGGUUCUGUCGAAUUAUU
This is a long non-coding RNA of Sycon ciliatum, 809 nucleotides long. RefSeq lists it as uncharacterized. The transcript has 4 exons. The record is from RefSeq and is a predicted model, not a curated record. Lineage: Eukaryota; Metazoa; Porifera; Calcarea; Leucosolenida; Sycettidae.